Long non-coding RNA from Stegodyphus dumicola, 578 nucleotides. NCBI's taxonomy places the organism in Eukaryota, Metazoa, Arthropoda, Arachnida, Araneae, Eresidae. The record is from RefSeq and is a predicted model, not a curated record.
AAACGAGAAUUUUAAUUGUCCGAUUUCCAGAUAUCUGAAUUAGUUGUUGCUGCUUCUAAGCCAGGCAAAAUUAAACUUGUUGAGACGGGGAAAAAUGCACUAUGCCUUCGCCAAGAUUCGAGCACCAGACCUCCAGAUUACUAGCCGGACGUUUUAUCCAGUUACAUCACGAAGACUCGUGAAAAGGAGGAAGGAAAUACCUUCAAUGUAGCAGCAAUUCCGGAUGAUGCAAGAGCCAGUACAAUGUGUAUCUUAACUCGUACUUUUGCCAGUAAAAGAUUAAUGAUUUGUGAGAAAAGUUUUUCCAGUACCACCUGAGGGGCAAUUUAAUCACUUUUCUCUCGACAAACGUCCAGUAUCCAAAGGAAACAUUAAGUUUAUGUAUUAUAGCCACAUACUGUUAAUAUAUAGGCGUUCUCUAUAUUUGUUAAUAUUACAUAUCCAUUAAUACUACUGUUAAUGACAUUUGAGCAUUACAAACUCCUUACUGUAGUUUGUUAAUGACUUUGUAAUAUUUGAAAUUAUGUUCUUAUGCAUUGUAUGUAAUAAGUUGCUUGUAAAUACAGAUCUAAUAAAAA